RNAcentral lists this ribosomal RNA (376 nucleotides) under uncultured bacterium. RNAcentral's name for it is "bacterial SSU rRNA". It matches the Rfam family "Bacterial small subunit ribosomal RNA", at positions 30 to 414 of the family's 1533-position model. The record is from RNAcentral.
AUUGAACGCUGGCGGCAUGCCUUACACAUGCAAGUCGAACGGUAACAGGUUAAGCUGACGAGUGGCGAACGGGUGAGUAAUAUAUCGGAACGUGCCCGAGAGUGGGGGAUAACGGAGCGAAAGCUUUGCUAAUACCGCAUACGAUCUACGGAUGAAAGCAGGGGACCGCAAGGCCUUGCGCUCAUGGAGCGGCCGAUGGCAGAUUAGGUAGUUGGUGGGAUAAAAGCUUACCAAGCCGACGAUCUGUAGCUGGUCUGAGAGGACGACCAGCCACACUGGGACUGAGACACGGCCCAGACUCCUACGGGAGGCAGCAGUGGGGAAUUUGGACAAUGGGCGAAAGCCUGAUCCAGCCAUGCCGCGUGCAGGAUGAAGG